AUGUGCAGCAAUCAGUGUCCCUCCCUCCCUCUCUAUCAUCUCUCUGCUUUCUCUCUCUUCCUCAUCUACCUCUCUUAUUUUUCUCCACAAGAGCAGAUCAGCAUCGAACUCUGUCUCUCCUCUGUUCUCUAUAUAUAUCAGCAGCGGCCAGCAGCAGAUCCAGCAAGCCCUCAAUCUAAAUAUGUGGCAAUUAGCGUCUCUCUCUGCUCUUUAUCUCUCAUCUCUCUGCUCUCUCUCUUCCUCACCUAUCUCUAUCUCUCAAGCAGCAGCACCCAGCAUGCCCUCUGCUCUCUCCCUAAAGCAGAAGCUCAUCUCUUCAAGUGCCUCCCCACCUUCAGCCACGGCGUCGCUGCCGCCGCCCCUGUAUCCACUCAUCGACGACGCCAUCUCUCCCUCCCCUAG
This 402-nucleotide ribosomal RNA is filed under the name Triticum aestivum (bread wheat). RNAcentral describes it as "partial small subunit ribosomal RNA". The record is from RNAcentral. Lineage: Eukaryota; Viridiplantae; Streptophyta; Magnoliopsida; Poales; Poaceae.